RNAcentral lists this ribosomal RNA (440 nucleotides) under uncultured bacterium. RNAcentral's name for it is "partial 16S ribosomal RNA". It matches the Rfam family "Bacterial small subunit ribosomal RNA", at positions 338 to 795 of the family's 1533-position model. The record is from RNAcentral.
CCUACGGGAGACUGCAGUGGGGAAUAUUGCACAAUGGGGGAGACCCUGAAGCAGCGACGCCGCGUGAGGGAAGACGUAUUUCGGUACGUAAAGCUCUAUCAGCAGGGAAGAAAAUGACGGUACCUGUCUAAGAAGCCCCGUCUAACUACGUGCCAGCAGCCGCGGUACUACGUAGGGGGCCAGCGUUAUCCGGAUGUACUGGGUGUAAAGGGAGCGUAGACGGCAGCGCAAGUCUGGAGUGAAAUCCCAUGGCUUAACCAUGGAACUGCUUUGGAAACAGUUCAGCUAGAGUGCAGGAGAGGUAAGCGGAAUGCCUAGUGUAGCGGUGAAAUGCGUAGAUAUUAGGCGGAACACCAGUGGCGAAGGCGGCUUACUGGACUGUAACUGACGUUGAGGCUCGAAAGCGUGGGGAGCAAACAGGAUUAGAUACCCCUGUAGUC